Molecule: transfer RNA, 73 nt
Filed under: Azospira oryzae
Lineage: Bacteria; Pseudomonadati; Pseudomonadota; Betaproteobacteria; Rhodocyclales; Rhodocyclaceae
Also listed under: 17 other names
Description: tRNA-Thr
Rfam family: tRNA
About the family: Transfer RNA (tRNA) molecules are approximately 80 nucleotides in length. Their secondary structure includes four short double-helical elements and three loops (D, anti-codon, and T loops). Further hydrogen bonds mediate the characteristic L-shaped molecular structure. tRNAs have two regions of fundamental functional importance: the anti-codon, which is responsible for specific mRNA codon recognition, and the 3' end, to which the tRNAs corresponding amino acid is attached (by aminoacyl-tRNA synthetases). tRNAs cope with the degeneracy of the genetic code in two manners: having more than one tRNA (with a specific anti-codon) for a particular amino acid; and 'wobble' base-pairing, i.e. permitting non-standard base-pairing at the 3rd anti-codon position.
Source: RNAcentral
GCCUCCUUAGCUCAGCUGGUAGAGCAACUGACUUGUAAUCAGUAGGUCGCUGGUUCGAUUCCGGCAGGGGGCU